Molecule: non-coding RNA, 54 nt
Organism: Salmo salar (Atlantic salmon)
Lineage: Eukaryota; Metazoa; Chordata; Actinopteri; Salmoniformes; Salmonidae
Source: Rfam
GCACGUAAAAUGUGUAAAUCGCUCUGGAUAAGAGCGUCUGCUAAAUGACUUAAA